GAGGAAUAUUGGUCAAUGGGGGCAACCCUGAACCAGCCAAGUCGCGUGAAGGAUGAAGGUCUUAUGGAUUGUAAACUUCUUUUAUACAGGAAUAAAUUGGGGGACGUGUCCCCUUUUGCAUGUACUGUAUGAAUAAGGAUCGGCUAACUCCGUGCCAGCAGCCGCGGUAAUACGGAGGAUCCGAGCGUUAUCCGGCUUUAUUGGGUUUAAAGGGUGCGCAGGCGGGAUGUUAAGUCGGCGGUGAAAUUUUGCAGCUCAACUGUAAAAGUGCCUUCGAUACUGGCUUCCUUGAGUGUGGAUGAAGUAGGCGGAAUUUGUGGUGUAGCGGUGAAAUGCUUAGAUAUCACGAGGAACUCCGAUUGCGCAGGCAGCUUACUAAGCCACAACUGACGCUCAUGCACGAAGGCGUGGGGAUCAAACA
Molecule: ribosomal RNA, 421 nt
Filed under: uncultured bacterium
Lineage: Bacteria
Description: bacterial SSU rRNA
Rfam family: Bacterial small subunit ribosomal RNA
Source: RNAcentral